This 100-nucleotide microRNA precursor is filed under the name Marmota monax (woodchuck). The record is from RNAcentral. Lineage: Eukaryota; Metazoa; Chordata; Mammalia; Rodentia; Sciuridae.
AGCAGAAUUGCUGGGUCUUACCAUAACUAUGUUGCACCUUUUGAAGAACUGCCAGGCUGUUUUCCAGAGUGGCUGUACCAGUUUAUAUCCCACCAGCAAU